AAUUUUAUCCAGGUAAAUCAUAUUCAAGGCCUGAGUUAAGUUCCAAUAACUUCAGUAAUUUUCUCAAAGAAAACUGAAAAGGAUGGUAGGAGAAUUGUUUUAAAUGUGCCAAGGGAAUGUGUGAUAUUACUAAAGAGAACAAUUUGGGAAUUUUAAAAAACCUGAAAUAAUUACAGCAUUAAAGGACAUUUACUUCAAAUGUCCCCAAAACUCUUGUGAAGGACUUCUGUCUUAACUCUACCGUAAUUGCCAUUCCAUCAUAAUCUUCCCAAAAUUACAUGAAACCGUUUUUGGCAUUUCCCGCCACAGGGAAACAUACAGAUAACUUCUUUCUUAGGCGUAGAAGACAUUCUAAAGAACAUCUAUGACACAACUAGGGAUUACAAUGAAUCUUAACUCUUAGUUCUGAAGGUAAAAUAUAAUUGUCAGAUGGUGUCAGGGAGAAAAGCUUCCUUCUCAUAAGAAUGUCCCUACAUUAUGAAUGAAACUGCAUUUCUGUGCAUGUGGGAGCAACGCUAACUUUUCUCUAAACAUUCAACAUUAAAAUGUUCUGACAAAGAAAUGGUGAAAUGAGUUCAAUGAUAGGGGUCAUACCUCUAAAGUUUCUAGAAAUUCCUUAACAAAGUCUUAACACUAAACACUGAGCUAUUACCUCUAACUCUUAACACAUUCGAGCAGCUGCUUAGCUGAUUUCACAGAGGGGUGACAAGGGAAGACAACAGACACUUCAAAAGUUAAGGAGAGGAUGGCAGGAGCUCUUUUGCCAUGGCUGCCAGGCCAAUCUCCGAGUAGAACCAGGAUGCCACUGUGUACGUGGGGGGCCUGGAUCAGAAGGUUAGUGAACCUCUGCUGUGGGAACUGUUUCUCCAGACUGGACCAGUAGUCAACACCACAUGCCAAAGGAUAGAGUCUGUCCAGCACCAAGGCUAUGACUUUGUGAAUUCUUGAGUGAGGAUGAUGCUGACUAUGCCAUUAAGAUCAUGAACAUGAUCAAACUCUAUGGGAAGCCGAUACAGGUGAACAAGACAUCAGUUCACAACAAAAACAUGGAUGUAGGGACCAACAUUUUCAUUCGGAACCUGGACCCUGAGAUUGAUGAUGAGAAGUCGUAUGAUACUUUCAGCACCUUUGGGGUCAUCUUACAAACCCCUAAGAUUAUGUGGGACCCUGACACAGGCAACUCCAAAGCUUAUGCCUUCAUUAAUUUUACUUCAUUUGAUGCUUUGGAUGCAGCAAUUGAAGCCAUGAAUGGGCAGUACCUCUGUAACUGCCCUAUCACCAUAUCUUAUGCCUUCAGGAAGGACUCCAAGGGUGAGCGCCAUGGCUUAGCAGCUGGACGACUUCUGGCAGCUCAGAACCUGCUCUCCCAGCCUGACCGCCCUCGUCAGCUGUUUGCAGAUGCACCUCCUCCACCCUCUGCCCCCAAUCCUGUGGUAUUAUCAUUGGGGUCUGGACUUCCUCCACCAGGCAUGCCUCCUCUUGACUCCUUCCCACUCCCAGUGCUGCCUCCUGGAGCCCUCCCACCUGGGAUACCCCCCACCAUGCCCUACCACCUAUGCCUCCUGGGGCUGCAGGACAUGGUCCCCCAUCAGCAGGAACCCCAGAGGCAGGAUAUCCUGAUUAUGGACACUCACGAGCUCACCCAUUCCCACCAGGAGGGGUGCCCUAUCCAGGGAUGUCUCAGAUGCAGCUGGCACACCAUGGAUCUCAUGGCUUAGGACAUCCCUAUUCUGGACCCCCAGGCUCUGGGGAGCAGCCACCACCCCAACCACCACCUGGAAUGCCUCAUCCUGGACCUCCUCCAAUUGGCAUGCCCCCCAGGGGUCUCCAUUCGGAUCUACCAUGGGUCACCCAGGUCCCAUGCUUCCACAUGGUAUGCAUGGACCUCCUCCACUGAUGCCCCCCUCAUGUGUACACUGGCCCUGCACGACCCACACCCUAUGGCUACCAGCCUCUCCCUUCACCCAGACCCACUCCCCAGCCACCAGUUGCCCCUUGAGACCUGCUUUGGAGCCCUCUCCCUCAGUAAAUUCACAUUUUUCUUCCUCCUGUUACAUCUUCCCAAUAUCUUUUUGAUUCCUUGGAACAAUUAGAGAUGCUGUAGCUCCUUGGGGCUAAGGCACUAAUCCCUUUCAGCACCCCCACCCCAUUCCCCUUUUUAAUGUAACUUUUUCCACAGGAGGUAUUUCUUUUUUAUGUUGGUCCUGAGUAUUUUGCAAAUGCACAGAGAAAAUAAAACUAAACUCCUUGUUCUAAAAAAAAAAAAA
Cercocebus atys (sooty mangabey) is the source of this 2267-nucleotide RNA transcript. It is a transcript of the gene named splicing factor 3B subunit 4-like, with no coding region annotated. Lineage: Eukaryota; Metazoa; Chordata; Mammalia; Primates; Cercopithecidae. The transcript has 2 exons. The record is from RefSeq and is a predicted model, not a curated record.